GAUGAACGCUGGCGGCGUGCCUAAUACAUGCAAGUCGAGCGAACAGACGAGGAGCUUGCUCCUCUGACGUUAGCGGCGGACGGGUGAGUAACGCGUGGAUAACCUACCUAUAAGACUGGGAUCACUUCGGGAAACCGGAGCUAAUACCGGAUAAUAUAUUGAACCGCAUGGUUCAAUAGUGAAAUACGGUUUUGCUGUCACUUAUCGAUGGAUCCGCGCCGCAUUAGCUGGUUGGUAAGGUAACGGCUUACCACGGCGACGAUGCGUAGCCGACCUGUGAGGGUGAUCGGCCGCAUGAGAACUGGGACACCGUCCAGACUACUACGGGAGGCAGCAGUAGGGUAUCUGCCGCAAUAGGCGAAAGCCUGACGGAGCGACGGCGCGUGAGUGAUGAAGGUCUUGGGAUCGUAAAACUCGGUUAUUAGGGAAGAACAAAUGUGUAAGUAACUAUGCACGUCUUGACGGUACCGAAUCAGAAAGCCACGGCUAACUACGUG
RNAcentral lists this ribosomal RNA (497 nucleotides) under uncultured bacterium. RNAcentral's name for it is "partial 16S ribosomal RNA". It matches the Rfam family "Bacterial small subunit ribosomal RNA", at positions 28 to 507 of the family's 1533-position model. The record is from RNAcentral.